Molecule: ribosomal RNA, 589 nt
Filed under: uncultured bacterium
Lineage: Bacteria
Description: bacterial SSU rRNA
Rfam family: Bacterial small subunit ribosomal RNA
Source: RNAcentral
UACUCCUACGGGAGGCAGCAGUGGGGAAUAUUGCGCAAUGGGGGGAACCCUGACGCAGCCAUGCCGCGUGAAUGAAGAAGGCCUUCGGGUUGUAAAGUUCUUUCGGUAUUGAGGAAGGUUGAUGUGUUAAUAGCACAUCAAAUUGACGUUAAAUACAGAAGAAGCACCGGCUAACUCCGUGCCAGCAGCCGCGGUAAUACGGAGGGUGCGAGCGUUAAUCGGAAUAACUGGGCGUAAAGGGCGCGCAGGCGGUUAUUUAAGUGAGGUGUGAAAGCCCUGGGCUUAACCUAGGAAUUGCAUUUCAGACUGGGUAACUAGAGUACUUUAGGGAGGGGUAGAAUUCCACGUGUAGCGGUGAAAUGCGUAGAGAUGUGGAGGAAUACCGAAGGCGAAGGCAGCCCCUUGGGAAUGUACUGACGCUCAUGUGCGAAAGCGUGGGGAGCAAACAGGAUUAGAUACCCUGGUAGUCCACGCUGUAAACGCUGUCGAUUUGGGGGUUGGGGUUUAACUCUGGCGCCCGUAGCUAACGUGAUAAAUCGACCGCCUGGGGAGUACGGCCGCAAGGUUAAAACUCAAAUGAAUUGACGGA